GCAGAGUAGAUUCCGGCGCGUCAAGUGCCGGCUGAACAGGGAGUUGUCAGCCGGACGAAGGGAAGACCGCGGUGCCGGGAUCGCAUCCCGCUGC
This 94-nucleotide non-coding RNA is filed under the name bovine gut metagenome. Its description in RNAcentral is "THF riboswitch". It matches the Rfam family "THF (Tetrahydrofolate) riboswitch aptamer". Rfam says of the family: THF riboswitch presents a pseudoknot that joins P1-P2 and the loop of P3 and two THF binding. The record is from RNAcentral.